Long non-coding RNA from Cervus elaphus (red deer), 215 nucleotides. RefSeq lists it as uncharacterized. Lineage: Eukaryota; Metazoa; Chordata; Mammalia; Artiodactyla; Cervidae. The transcript has 3 exons. The record is from RefSeq and is a predicted model, not a curated record.
GUUCCAUUGAUCUAUAUUUCUGUCUUUGUGCCAGUACCAUACUGUCUUGAUGACUAUAGCUUUGUAGUGUAGCCUGAAGUUAGGAAGACUUAUUCUUUCAGCUCCAUUUUUCUUUCUCAAGAUUGCUUUGACUUUUCAGGGUGUUUUGUGUUUCCAUAAACAAUUGUAAAAUUUUUUGUUCUAAUUCUGUGAAAAAUGCCAUUGGUAAUUUGAUA